GGCCGGUUGGCCCAAUGGUAAGGCGUCUGACUACGAUUCAAGCAUCCAUCACGGCUUGUAGUUAAUCAGGAGAUUCUGGGUUCGAGCCCCAGGCUGGUCA
This is a non-coding RNA of Ustilago trichophora, 100 nucleotides long. The record is from the annotation of a GenBank genome assembly. NCBI's taxonomy places the organism in Eukaryota, Fungi, Basidiomycota, Ustilaginomycetes, Ustilaginales, Ustilaginaceae.